RNAcentral lists this ribosomal RNA (1237 nucleotides) under metagenome. Its description in RNAcentral is "bacterial LSU rRNA". It matches the Rfam family "Bacterial large subunit ribosomal RNA", at positions 1564 to 2810 of the family's 2925-position model. The record is from RNAcentral.
UGAGUACAAGAUGCUACGGCAUUGAAGCAGUCUAUGUCAUACUUCCAAGAAAAGCUUGCAAUGUCAUAAACAAAUAAUGCCUGUACCAUAACCGACACAGGUGGGUAGGUAGAGUAUACUAAGGGGCGCGAGAUAACUCUCUCUAAGGAACUCGGCAAAAUGACUCCGUAACUUCGGGAGAAGGAGUACCUUAUUUUAUAAGGUUGCAAUAACAAGGUCCAAGCAACUGUUUACCAAAAACACAGGUCUCCGCUAAGUCGUAAGACGAUGUAUGGGGGCUGACGCCUGCCCAGUGCCAGAAGGUUAAAGAAGUUGGUUAGCAUUAGCGAAGCUGAUAACUGAAGCCCUGGUGAACGGCGGCCGUAACAAUAACGGUCCUAAGGUAGCGAAAUUCCUUGUCGGGUAAGUUCCGACCCGCACGAAAGGCGUAAUGAUUUGGAUACUGUCUCGGAGAGGGGCUCGGUGAAAUAGACUUGUCUGUGAAGAUGCGGACUACCUGCACCUGGACAGAAAGACCCUAUGAAGCUUUACUGUAACUUGAGAUUGAAAUUGGACUUUAUUUGCGCAGUAUAGGUGGGAGACCUCGAAAGUAUUCUUGCGGGAAUAUUGGAGUCAUCAGUGAGAUACCACUCUUAUAAUGUUAGAUUUCUAACUUUGUAUCAUUAUCUGGUCAAAGAACAGUUUCAGGCGGGCAGUUUGACUGGGGCGGUCGCCUCCCAAAUGGUAACGGAGGCGCACAAAGGUUUCCUCUGAACGUGUAGAAAUCGUAUCUAGAGUGUAAAGGCAUAAGGAAGCUUGACUGUGAGACCUACAAGUCGAGCAGGGACGAAAGUCGGUCUUAGUGAUCUGACGGUGCUGAGUGGAAAGGCCGUCACUCAACGGAUAAAAGUUACUCUAGGAUAACAGGCUGAUCUCCCCCAAGAGUUCACAUCGACGGGGAGGUUUGGCACCUUGAUGUCGGCUCAUCGCAUCCUGGGGCGGUAGUACGUCCCAAGGGUUGGGCUGUUCGCCCAUGAAAGCGGUACGCGAGCUGGGUUCAGAACGUCGUGAGACAGUUCGGUCCAUAUCCGGUGUAGGCGUUAGAAUAUUGAGAGGAGCCUUCUUUAGUACGAGAGGACCGAGAAGGACAUACCUCUGGUGUACCAGUUAUCGUGCCAACGGUAAACGCUGGGUAGCUAUGUAUGGAGAGGAUAACCGCUGAAAGCAUCUAAGUGGGAAGCCCACCUCAAGAUAAGUA